This 669-nucleotide ribosomal RNA is filed under the name uncultured bacterium. RNAcentral describes it as "bacterial SSU rRNA". It matches the Rfam family "Bacterial small subunit ribosomal RNA", at positions 141 to 808 of the family's 1533-position model. The record is from RNAcentral.
GGAUAAGCGGAAGAAAUUCCGUCUAAUGCCAGGUAAUAACUCCGAGAGGCAUCUCCUGGGGUUUAAAGGGUAACCCGGCUACGGAUGGCCAUGCGGCGCAUUAGCUAGUUGGCGGGGUAACGGCCCACCAAGGCGACGAUGCGUAGGGGUUCUGAGAGGAAGGUCCCCCACACUGGUACUGAGACACGGACCAGACUCCUACGGGAGGCAGCAGUGAGGAAUAUUGGUCAAUGGGCGCGAGCCUGAACCAGCCAAGUCGCGUGAGGGAAGACGGUCCUAUGGAUUGUAAACCUCUUUUGUCGGGGAGCAAAAGACGCCACGCGUGGCGUUCCGAGAGUACCCGAAGAAAAAGCAUCGGCUAACUCCGUGCCAGCAGCCGCGGUAAUACGGAGGAUGCGAGCGUUAUCCGGAUUUAUUGGGUUUAAAGGGUGCGCAGGCGGAAGAUCAAGUCAGCGGUAAAAUUGAGAGGCUCAACCUCUUCGAGCCGUUGAAACUGGUUUUCUUGAGUGAGCGAGAAGUAUGCGGAAUGCGUGGUGUAGCGGUGAAAUGCACAGAUAUCACGCAGAACUCCGAUUGCGAAGGCAGCAUACCGGCGCUCAACUGACGCUCAUGCACGAAAGUGUGGGUAUCGAACAGGAUUAGAUACCCUGGUAGUCCACACAGUAAACG